CGGCGUAAAGAGUGGUUAUGGAGUCCUUACACUAAAGCCGAAAGCCCCUUAAACUGUCAUACGCACCCAGGGGCCAGAAUCCCACCGCACGAAAGUAGCUUUAUUAACGCCCACCAGAACCCACGACAGCUAGGACACAAACUGGGAUUAGAUACCCCACUAUGCCUAGCCAUAAACCCAGAUGCCAUCGUACAAUUAGCAUCCGCCCGGGAACUACGAGCACCAGCUUAAAACCCAAAGGACUUGGCGGUGCCUCAGACCCCCCUAGAGGAGCCUGUUCUAGAACCGAUAAUCCCCGUUAAACCUCACCACCUCUUGCCCCUUCCGCCUAUAUACCACCGUCGCCAGCUUACCCUGUGAAGGAAAUAAAGUAAGCAAAAUGGAAACUUUCCAAAACGUCAGGUCGAGGUGUAGCAAACGAAGUGGGAAGAAAUGGGCUACAUUGCCUGGCUCAGGCUACUCACGGAAAGUCACCUGAAACGGUAACUCAAAGGUGGAUUUAGCAGUAAAAAGGGAAUAGAGUGCCCUUUUGAAGCCGGCUCUGAGGCGCGCACACACCGCCCGUCACUCUCCCCAACAACCAUUUUCCCAAGUAAAUAACACUACAUAACUAUAUAAGGGGAGGCAAGUCGUAACAUGGUAAGUGUACC
Molecule: ribosomal RNA, 650 nt
Filed under: Thryssa chefuensis (Chefoo thryssa)
Lineage: Eukaryota; Metazoa; Chordata; Actinopteri; Clupeiformes; Engraulidae
Description: partial 12S ribosomal RNA
Rfam family: Bacterial small subunit ribosomal RNA
Source: RNAcentral